This 441-nucleotide ribosomal RNA is filed under the name uncultured bacterium. RNAcentral's name for it is "partial 16S ribosomal RNA". It matches the Rfam family "Bacterial small subunit ribosomal RNA", at positions 338 to 795 of the family's 1533-position model. The record is from RNAcentral.
CCUACGGGAGGCAGCAGUGGGGAAUAUUGCACAAUGGGGGAAACCCUGAUGCAGCAACGCCGCGUGAGUGAGGAAGUAUUUCGGUAUGUAAAGCUCUAUCAGCAGGGAAGAGAAUAGCAGGAACUGGUUAAAGAACCCCCGGCAAACAACGUGCCAGCAGCCGCGGUAAUACGAAGGGGGCAAGCGUUAUCCGGAUUUACUGGGUGUAAAGGGAGCGUAGACGGAAGGGCAAGCCAGGAGUGAAAUCCCAAGGCUUAACCAUGGAACUGCUUUUGAAACUGUCAAGUUAGAGUGCAGGAGAGGUAAGAGGAAUUCCUAGUGUAGCGGUGAAAUGCGUAGAUAUUAGGAGGAACACCAGUGGCGAAGGCGGCUUACUGGACCGAAACUGACGUUGAGGCUCGAAAGCGUGGGGAGCAAACAGGAUUAGAUACCCGGGUAGUC